Molecule: long non-coding RNA, 783 nt
Organism: Harpegnathos saltator (Jerdon's jumping ant)
Lineage: Eukaryota; Metazoa; Arthropoda; Insecta; Hymenoptera; Formicidae
Exons: 5
Source: RefSeq, a predicted model, not a curated record
AUUUACGUGGAAUUCACAAAACCACAUGGAUUUCACGUGGACACGUUCCUGUUUUCGUGGGGCCGCUUAUCAAAAGAAGCAGUAAUUUAUAUAUGUGACUCACUUCAAAAUAUUUUGCAACGUAAAGGAAGAAGAGGAUUAAGUGUAGAAACACAGGUUCUUAUCAAAAAGAUAUUGGUAUUGAUUAUCUGAUAUCUAUACCACAACCAGCAACUAACAGAGCAAUAAAAGCAGUAGCGAUGAAUAUUACGCAAUUGCUUAUUGCCAAUGAGUGGAUCAAUUGAUACAAAUUCCCAAACACAGAGGAAAAACGAGCAGCUUUAAAAGAAAAAUUUCGAAAGGAAAGGAAUUUUAAAGGAGUAAUAGGUUGCAUAGAUUGCACUCAUGUCGCUAUUGUGGGACCAAAACAUCACGAGGAAUCAUAUAUAAACCAUAAAAGGUUUCCAUUCAAUUAAUGUACAGGUAAUAGCGUCACAUGAUUUGGAAAUCUUAAACGUCAAUGCUAGAUUUCCUGGAAGUGUCCAUGACAGCUUUAUAUGGAGACAUUCUACAAUAAGGGAUGAAAUGCAACGAUUAUAUGAUUCUGGAGAUCGAACAACAUGGCUUUUGGGCGAUGCAGGUUACGGUUUGGAACCUUGGCUGAUGACACCUAUCACAGAUGCACCAGAGCUAUAAGAUGCAUAACGUUAUACUAACAUUAUAAAAAAAUAGCAUUUUAAUAAUACAGAAAACAAUGUGAGGAAAUAAUACUUAAACUAUGAUAGAAAUAUACAAUAAAACUUA